Molecule: long non-coding RNA, 929 nt
Filed under: Homo sapiens (human)
Lineage: Eukaryota; Metazoa; Chordata; Mammalia; Primates; Hominidae
Description: HSALNT0353789
Source: RNAcentral
CCCAGAUAAAUCAGUAACCCAUUCAGAUCCAUGAAGACACAGGAGCCAUUUGAAGCCUCUGGGAAAGACAAGCUUCCUCCUCUUCCAGAGAUGCUACCAGGAAAGAGGCUUGCUCUUCCUCCAGAAGGUAUAGGGAGAUCUGAGGCCUGGAGUUACUGCAGCCAUUUUCUGCCACACAUGGAGAGCCAGGAGCUGCCUAGAAGAGGAUGGGGAUGGCAGGACCAAGGAUCCGAACUCCCUUUGCCCUCAGAACAGAAGGUUAGCCACCAACUCUACCUCCGCCCUAUGCCCUGGGGAGUGGAGCCUCCAUUGUCGGUGGAAUCUCCCCCAGAGCCUUCUGCUCUAGAGGCAGGAGCAGGGUGGAGGUGCGUGACCUCACUGGAAUGAAGAAGGCGAAGCCCAGUCGAGGUCUCCAAGGAUGAGCCCAGCUGCAGGGGGCUGUCUUAUUCAUGACCCUCUGAAUCUGGGCUGGACUCAGUGACCUGCUCAGCCAACAGAAUUUGUAGAAGUAACAUUCUGGGACUUCUGAGACUAACUUACAAGAAACCUUGCUGCUUCUACCUGGGUCUCUUGGAACACCCUCACUCUGGUAGCUUUGAGCCACCAUGGAAGAACUCUGAUGACUCUAAAUUGGCCAAGUUAGAGAGAUUACAUGCAGGCUCUCUGGGACGUGGUCCCCGUCAGGUCCAGCCUUCUAGUUGUCUCUGCGACUCUGCCAAAGUGCCAGACAAUGAACGGAGCUGUUGUGGAUUCCCUCGACUUGCCCAGCUGUCAGUUGGACAUCUCAGUCAACACCACAUGGAACAGAAGAGUUGCGCAGCUGAGCCCUGUCCAAGUUUCUGACCCACAGAAUGUGAGAUAAAGAAAACGGUGGUGGCCAGGCGUGGUGGCUCAUGCCUGUAAUUCCAGCUCUCAGGGAGGCAGAGGCA